Molecule: ribosomal RNA, 253 nt
Filed under: uncultured bacterium
Lineage: Bacteria
Description: partial 16S ribosomal RNA
Rfam family: Bacterial small subunit ribosomal RNA
Source: RNAcentral
UACGAAGGGGGCUAGCGUUGUUCGGAAUUACUGGGCGUAAAGCGCGCGCAGGCGGUUCUUCAAGUCAGAGGUGAAAGCCCAGAGCUCAACUCUGGAAUGGCCUUUGAGACUAGAGAACUAGGGUACGGGAGAGGUGAGUGGAAUUCCGAGUGUAGAGGUGAAAUUCGUAGAUAUUCGGAAGAACACCAGUGGCGAAGGCGGCCAACUGGGCCGACCCUGACGCUGAGGCGCGAAGGCGUGGGGAGCAAACAGG